CUGUGCCGGUAUUGGGAUAAACCGUAAUCGUACCCCCUCCUAACUGCCAAAGUGUCAUGGCCGCCGUCGGGACCUAUUGUGCUGACAUUUACAAUGUUUACAUAUAGAAAAGUUUGUUUUUUUCUGCUUAUAAUGCCGUUUUCUAAAGAUAUUAGUGAACAAAAUCGAUUUGCUAACAAUAUUUAAUAUAUUUUAAAUGUGCUAAAAUUGGAUUCAACAGCAAAAGUCGCAUAAAUAACAUAUAAAUAACGAAUUUGUUCACCUAUUACAAAUGGGGUUAUGUGGUUGUAACUGUUUAUUUUGGGAAUAAAAUGAAAAUGAUCAAUUAAACGACUGGAAAACUAUAGUGAAGUGAAGAACAUCUUGAAGUUCCAAUGAUGUUUCAAGAUGAGGUAAAUCGAAAUAAUUGUAUGUUAGAAGGACAGAGAAUAUGAAGAAAUGUUAUUGCUGCAUAUUUAGUGUAGUGAAAUACAAACUUCAAACAUUAUAAUAUAUUUUUUGAUUUCAAACAUUUCAUAUGAUUAUGAAAGAACAUCUUUCUUUUUAAAACAAUGAAGAAGUGAAGAACAUAAUAAAGUUCCAACGAAAAUGAUUCCAGAUGAGGAAAAUCGAAAUAAUGGUUGUAUGUUACAUGUAUAGAGAAUACGAAGAAAUGUUAUUGCUGCAAACUUAGUGUAGUGAAUUAAAAACUUAUUGUCAAAUACAAAUCAAUUUAUUUCAUACUUUUAUAAUAUAUAGUGAUAUAAUUUUAUAUGUGUUCAAAUAAAAAUAUUAAUAAAUAAAAUACAAUAAACACAAA
Molecule: long non-coding RNA, 799 nt
Filed under: Diabrotica virgifera virgifera (western corn rootworm)
Lineage: Eukaryota; Metazoa; Arthropoda; Insecta; Coleoptera; Chrysomelidae
Description: uncharacterized LOC126887275
Source: RNAcentral